AUAGAUAAGAAUAAAAUGUUGCUUUGUUUUUAUUUUUAUAAAGCACAUCUUGGGACUUACUCUGUGCUUCUUCUAGACCAUAUGGUAUUCCUGGGUUUCAUAUCACACACAAAGAAUAAUUAUUCUGCUCACAAAGCAGCACCGGCUCGGAGACAAAGCUGAGACUUCUAACACUUGAAUAACAGGUGGCCAUCUCAUCACAGAAUAUGAGCAAGAUUAGUCAAGUGUAUCCUAGAAAACAGCUUCCCUCAUGGGAAAAAAGUGAGAGAAAGAGAAUUGGUGACUAUUCAACUAUACAUCGAAACACAAUAUUGCAAGCUGGACUUAGGUAAACAUUUUUUCACACCUAAGAGUUAGAGAAGUUUUUUAAAAUUUUCUUUAAAAAGACAUUUCAGAGAAAU
This 401-nucleotide long non-coding RNA is filed under the name Zonotrichia albicollis (white-throated sparrow). RNAcentral's name for it is "lncRNA (ENSZALG00000016183.1)". Lineage: Eukaryota; Metazoa; Chordata; Aves; Passeriformes; Passerellidae. The record is from RNAcentral.